GAUGAAGAACGUAGCGAAAUGCGAUAGGUAGUGUGAAUUGCAGAUGUAACGUGAAUCAUCGAAUCUUUGAACGCAAAUUGCACUCUCUGGUAUUCUGGGGAGUAUGCCUGUUUGAGGGUCGCCAAAUCAACAUCGAAAUUCAUUUGCUUUUGUAAAUGUUUAUCGGAUUUGAGCCGUCUUUUAUUUUUUUAAUUAAAGUGGCUUAAAAUGUAUUUUUUGGUAUCGAAAAACGUUAUUUUACGAUCAAAUUGAUUAAAAAAACAAACGUUUCGAAUGCCGUCUUUUAAUGUAAUACGCUUGACUGUGGUGUUAAUCAUAGUUUCAUUCGUAUACGAUUUUUUAAUUUUUGACCUCAAAUCAGGUAAGAACACCCGCUGAACUUAAGCAUAUCAAUAAGCGGAGGA
This 404-nucleotide unclassified non-coding RNA is filed under the name soil metagenome. RNAcentral's name for it is "partial contains 5.8S ribosomal RNA, internal transcribed spacer 2, and large subunit ribosomal RNA". The stretch from base 1 to 121 matches the Rfam family "5.8S ribosomal RNA", at positions 35 to 154 of the family's 154-position model. The record is from RNAcentral.